CGCUUCGUUAACUGCACCGCAUCUUUGAAGGUUUGUUUGGUUGGGUAUGCUGGGUGCGCUCCUCCUGCAGUUAUGCCCGUUUGUUUUCCCCCCUCAAGCAUUCUUCCGGCGUCUUUCUUUCCAGGGUCGACGAGCGUUUCCACUCAAAAAAGACCUUGGGUGUCUAGAAUGCUUGGUAGGAGGAGCUUCUUGAGGUCACGAAUAGAGGAUGAGCGGGGACCGGAUUAGGUAGGUUAGAGAGCCAAGUCUUCCGCUCCUCCCGCGCCACGGACCAGGUCUAGAGCACCGGCGGUACCGCCUCUUCAAGCGCCUCAGUCGCUUGUUACAUUAGUAGCUUCUCCACUUGUUCCCGGACUUGGGACCUUACUAUCAGGACGAACACCAACGAUGGUGGGACGACGAAAAGAAACAACCCUUGAUACGCGACAUGGACAUACGCGUCUUCUGCGAGGGAGGCUUCUUCUUCUUCGGUCAGAGGUUCUUCUUCGAGUUCUCCCUUUUCGACUUCGUUCCCCAAAGACGUGGUCCCCUCACUUCUCUAGGUAGCUAAAGCGCACAGCUAACGAAAUACGACCCGAGGAGAAAUGGACUAUUUUUUAUAUAUGGUCGACCUCGACGCCACAACUCGAUGACAAAUACAUCUUUGGAACAGAACUCACCAUGUAGCAGCCAUAACCUGUGGAAUAAAUUCGCUUGACUAUUUGGAAUCAGACUUAACUCGACGAGGACCAAUAUCAAAAAUAUUUAAAUUUUGAAACGACCCCUAGUAGACACCGUUUGAACGCUUUGGACACAACGGCAAACGUCAAACCAUACAACACAACGUAACACCAAACCACAGAGAGCCCAAAAAAUUCUUCAAAAGUUUUAAAGUACGACGGUUUCUAUGAAGUAGUCAGACGGUUUAAUUUUAUCAUACAACU
This 923-nucleotide ribosomal RNA is filed under the name Triticum aestivum (bread wheat). RNAcentral describes it as "partial small subunit ribosomal RNA". The record is from RNAcentral. Lineage: Eukaryota; Viridiplantae; Streptophyta; Magnoliopsida; Poales; Poaceae.